AUCGAACGCUGGCGGCAUGCCUUACACAUGCAAGUCGAACGGCAGCACGGGUGCUUGCACCUGGUGGCGAGUGGCGAACGGGUGAGUAAUACAUCGGAACAUGUCCUGUAGUGGGGGGUAGCCCGCCGAAAGCCGGAUUAAUACCCCAUACGAUCCACGUACUAAAGCGGGGGACCUUCGGGCCUCGCGCUAUAGGGUUGGCCGAUGGCUGAUUAGCUAGUUGGUGGGGUAAAGGCCUACCAAGGCGACGAUCAGUAGCUGGUCUGAGAGGACGACCAGCCACACUGGGACUGAGACACGGCCCAGACUCCUACGGGAGGCAGCAGUGGGGAAUUUUGGACAAUGGGCGAAAGCCUGACCCAGCAAUGCCGCGUGUGUGAAGAAGGCCUUCGGGUUGUAAAGCACUUUUGUCCGGAAAGAAAUCCUUGGCCCUAAUACGGUCGGGGGAUGACGGUACCGGAAGAAUAAGCACCGGCUAACUACGUG
This 486-nucleotide ribosomal RNA is filed under the name uncultured bacterium. Its description in RNAcentral is "partial 16S ribosomal RNA". It matches the Rfam family "Bacterial small subunit ribosomal RNA", at positions 30 to 507 of the family's 1533-position model. The record is from RNAcentral.